This 422-nucleotide ribosomal RNA is filed under the name uncultured bacterium. Its description in RNAcentral is "bacterial SSU rRNA". It matches the Rfam family "Bacterial small subunit ribosomal RNA", at positions 355 to 774 of the family's 1533-position model. The record is from RNAcentral.
UGAGGAAUAUUGGACAAUGGGCGCAAGCCUGAUCCAGCCAUGCCGCGUGCAGGAAGAAGCAUCUAUGGUGUGUAAACUGCUUUUGUACGGGAAGAAACACUCCUACGUGUAGGAGCUUGACGGUACCGUAAGAAUAAGGAUCGGCUAACUCCGUGCCAGCAGCCGCGGUAAUACGGAGGAUCCAAGCGUUAUCCGGAAUCAUUGGGUUUAAAGGGUCCGUAGGCGGUUUAAUAAGUCAGUGGUGAAAGCCCAUCGCUCAACGAUGGAACGGCCAUUGAUACUGCUAGACUUGAAUUACAAGGAAGUAACUAGAAUAUGUAGUGUAGCGGUGAAGUGCUUAGAUAUUACAUGGAAUACCAAUUGCGAAGGCAGGUUACUACUUGUGGAUUGACGCUGAUGGACGAAAGCGUGGGGAGCGAACA